GUGGAGACUGCCGGUGUCAAACCGGAGGAAGGUGGGGAUGGACGUCAAGUCCUCAUGGCCCUUAUGACCAGGGCUACACACGUGCUACAAUGGCCGGUACAAAGGAGUUGCGAUACCGCGAGGUGGGAGCUAAUCUCAUAAAGCCGGUCUCAGUUCGGAUUGGAGUCUGCAACUCGACUCCAUGAAGUUGGAAUCGCUAGUAAUCGCGGAUCAGCAUGCCGCGGUGAAUACGUUCCCGGGCCUU
RNAcentral lists this ribosomal RNA (244 nucleotides) under uncultured Geobacter sp. RNAcentral describes it as "partial 16S ribosomal RNA". It matches the Rfam family "Bacterial small subunit ribosomal RNA", at positions 1142 to 1382 of the family's 1533-position model. Lineage: Bacteria; Pseudomonadati; Thermodesulfobacteriota; Desulfuromonadia; Geobacterales; Geobacteraceae. The record is from RNAcentral.